Molecule: small nucleolar RNA, 106 nt
Filed under: Beta vulgaris subsp. vulgaris (sugar beet)
Lineage: Eukaryota; Viridiplantae; Streptophyta; Magnoliopsida; Caryophyllales; Amaranthaceae
Description: Plant small nucleolar RNA R71
Rfam family: Plant small nucleolar RNA R71
About the family: R71 is a member of the C/D box family of snoRNAs containing the C (UGAUGA) and D (CUGA) box motifs. Multiple nearly identical copies of this snoRNA have been identified in Arabidopsis, and it is thought to function as a 2'-O-ribose methylation guide for 18S ribosomal RNA.
Source: Rfam by way of RNAcentral
AAACCAUGAUGAGGACAGAGAUGCUGCAAAUCCAUAAACCGCUCCCAAGCUUCGUAUAAGGACUCACUAGGAUCUUGGGUUAAGGUAACUAUGGCAUGUCUCGUAC